Molecule: long non-coding RNA, 602 nt
Organism: Daphnia magna
Lineage: Eukaryota; Metazoa; Arthropoda; Branchiopoda; Diplostraca; Daphniidae
Exons: 2
Source: RefSeq, a predicted model, not a curated record
GCUAAAAACACAUGAUUUCGAAUCAGAAUUGAACGAAAACCACGGAAAUCAAGUUUAUUUUUCCAAUGAUCUUAUAGUUUUUUAAAUAAACGUAAAAAACCAAGUUGUUGCGCUUAUAGCACUUUAUUUACGUUUAUUUAAAAAAUGGCUGGUUCAACAAGAAAUCUAUUAACUUAAUCGAAAUAAGCGUUCAAUUUUGAUUGUACUGCGUGAUUUGUUUUUCCUCAACGUCUUCGGGAACUUCGUGAACACUGGGAGCCGUUGAGUUAUUAAACGCUGGCGCUCAUCAACACCGGAGCGUUCUGGCGAUUUGUCUAGCGGGGAAGCCAUCUAUGGAGCUUUAGUAUACUUCAAGCUUAUAUCAACUUUCAGAGACAUCUAGGGGACAAAUCAUUGGCUGAUUAUCAAGGACAUGGUACUGACAGCUGAUUCAUUUGGCAUGGCGUCGUCGACGAGAAUGGCUUUUCCUGUUUCCAGGAUGCACAUAAUAUGCUGUGUUGGCCCAUUAGAUCCAUCCAUGACAAAAGGAAUGUCACAUAAAUUUCAUGUGGAAGGUGGAACAAAAAAAUGGUUUCAAUGUAAAUAAAAUAUAUCCAAUAUGA